Molecule: non-coding RNA, 391 nt
Organism: Arachis ipaensis
Lineage: Eukaryota; Viridiplantae; Streptophyta; Magnoliopsida; Fabales; Fabaceae
Source: RefSeq, a predicted model, not a curated record
UUCACUCUUGUUGUGAUAAUGCUCUUCUUUUCUCUCCUCAGAACUUUGAAUCUAUCAGCUUCUAAGAUAUUUGCCACAAGCUUUGAAUCUAAAGAAGAAACAAGAAGGACUAGUUGCAAUGUUUUCUCUGGGAACUAGACUCCUUAUCUGAAGGGACCGUACUACAGCAAUGGGACAUGCCCUUUCAUAUUUGACAAGCAGAAUUGCCUUCUGCAUGGAAGACCUGACAGGGAGUUUCUUCAAUGGAGAUGGAAACCUAAUGAGUGUUAGCUUCCUCUCUUUGAUGCUACUCAGUUCUUGAAGAUGGUCAAAGGGAAAUCAAUGGCCUUUGUUGGGGACUCAGUUCUAUUUAGCAUAUGGGACAAGUCAAGCAUGGAUACAAAAUAUGCAA